UACGAAGGGGGCUAGCGUUACUCGGAUUGACUGGGCGUAAAGGGCGCGUAGGCGGUUUGUACAGUCAGACGUGAAAUUCCUGAGCUCAACCUGGGGGCUGCGUUUGAUACGUGCAGACUUGAGUUCGGAAGAGGGUCGUGGAAUUCCCAGUGUAGAGGUGAAAUUCGUAGAUAUUGGGAAGAACACCGGUGGCGAAGGCGGCGAUCUGGUCCGAUACUGACGCUGAGGCGCGAAAGCGUGGGGAGCAAACAGG
RNAcentral lists this ribosomal RNA (253 nucleotides) under uncultured bacterium. RNAcentral's name for it is "partial 16S ribosomal RNA". It matches the Rfam family "Bacterial small subunit ribosomal RNA", at positions 524 to 776 of the family's 1533-position model. The record is from RNAcentral.